Passer domesticus (house sparrow) is the source of this 2330-nucleotide long non-coding RNA. RefSeq lists it as uncharacterized. The transcript has 11 exons. The record is from RefSeq and is a predicted model, not a curated record. Lineage: Eukaryota; Metazoa; Chordata; Aves; Passeriformes; Passeridae.
UUUGGCUGAUGUUAAAAGCCUGCCCAGAGUGCAAAACAGUAAGUAAUCAUCCUCCCCCACCUCCAGUCUCAUUCAGUGAGAGCUUCACAGAAGAGGCAGGCGAGUCUGGCUGAAAGAAAAGCUCGUAACCUUUGGUCAUGUCAAACUCUCCAGAACUAUAAAUUAAAUUCCAGAAGAAUCAUGCUUUCUCAGGUGUCCACGUGCAAUUCUGCAAACAGGUAUCCUCCAGAACAGGAGUCCCCCUGGAGCACCUUCCCUCAAGGCUCAGGGAUGAAAGCUGUAGACAAAGCAUAGCUCUAAAUCUCUUCAAAAGACUGCCAAGUGUACAUACUCAAGGGAGGGGGAAAUGCUGUAACCUCCUCUGUGAUGUUGAGUUAACAGCCUGAUGCCCUGCCAUUGCACUGCCCUUGUCUGCUGGAGGUGUGGAAUAAAUCUUUGAGCAGAAGAAUGGAAAUUAACAGUUCCAGGCACUUAAGUUUUCAUGGAAGACGUUGGUGUAACAGCUCUUGUUCAGCUAAACCUUUGCUCGCAGUAAUUCCUCAGUCCCUGCAUAUGAGAGCAGCAUCAACAGUGGCAAAGUGAGCAAGAAGUUUGACUAACCACGAGAGAUCAAAGGAGACUCAGGACUCAAGUUUGGCCAUGUGAUUAAGGCACAACCUGAACUGAACAAAGACAUUUUGGGUAGUUUCCAAGAGGAGGAGCUUCAAAUUAGGUAGUGCCUGCUGCCCUAGAAACCCCUAGGGAGAGGUUUGGGAGGUCCUUCUUUCCAGCACUGACCAGCCUUGGCAAUACUUCUCAAGUGACCCUUCUUACAUGUGUUACCUGGAUGCGUAAAUAGGGGUUCCUGGUUCCUGUGUGAAUUGAUGUGCACCAUAUAGUUGUGGACUUCGUUACUAGUGAGCAUUCCAGUGGCUUCAAACCCUGUGUAUUCGUUGAUGGCUAAAGGUAUCCCCUAGACUAUUAGCAAGAAUCAUGCACAUUUCAGAGAGAGCACUCAGCAUUGGAACAUGGAAACUUUGAAGAGCUCCAACAACUUUGGUCCUCCCACUGAUCCAGGAAACUGAGGUGUUUGGCAAACUCAAAAUGAAUAUAUCAAGAGUAUAUUGGAUAUAUGAGUCUGAAACGAGAACAUGGGCUGCUGAAAUGCACAGCAAGUUAAAACCUGGGAGAAAAGUGUGACAGAUGACUAUUCCUGGCCUGAAGAGAAGUUGCAGGUUUACACCAAUGCAUUGUUCAACUUUUUUCAUUUUUAAUUUAUGUGGAAAAUCUGAAGUCAUAAAAUGCUGUGUGACUACAGGAUGUCAGGAUAAAACAGCAGUUUAUAGAGAUUAUAAAGGACCUCAGACCAUAUUUUCAUCCCUUUCUUGAGGCUUGUAUGGAAAGGGCAGUCCUAGCUGAGAUGUAUGGCUGGAGGGAGCUGCUGGAGAGCAAGAACUGGAGAAGGAUCCUCACAACAGAACCUCUGAGUGACCUCACCUUGUCUACCCCAAACAUGAAGAGAAGGCAGCACACAGAGUCAUAGCACCACCAGCUUUGGAGUGGCAGAGAUGAAAGCAGUAAAACAGAGUGAAACUGAGCCCAUGAGAUGAACACUGCAGCGCUGCACCAUUUAAGCAUCCCCAGCUUUUUCGUGCAAAAACCCAAACAGCAGCACAAGCAUCAGCACUUACACUCUUGAUGCCUGCUCCUGGUAAGGUGAGGUGUGUCUGUCUCCAGCCAUGGCCACCGUUUCUCCCCCAGACAGCUGGGCCGUGAGCACCACUCCUCCUCACAAAGACCUGCAGGGCACCCGAAUGCAGCCCGGGCACCUUAUGCCUGAAGGACAGGCACAAAUCUCCAGCCUGAGCCACGUGGCCCAACGGCAGGAUGAGAUGUGCUGCUCUUCCUUCUUUCCCUUUGGGAUCGGAGAUGGUGAGGUACUGGCCCCCUGCAGUGGAAAAAGCAGUUAGUUGGGGUUUGUUUGGUGACAAGAGUUGUUAAAAAUAAAUAAAGAUAAAACAAGGUCCAGAAAGUGUAAAAUAAGGCACAAAGAACCAGAACUAAUACAUUUGCCUCCUACAGGGUAAGACUGACAGUGCUGCUCUUCUCUAUACAUUACUACCAGGCUGGGUGUUGCCCAUCUAAUUUCUUUUUAGCAAAGCAAACACUACUUCCCUCUCCAAAACUGAAACCUCGUGUAUUCUGUCAUUUCUGACAACCCCUUUGUCACUGAAUGACUUUAAACCCACAGUAACAUUAAAGCACUGUGCGAAUUCAUGCACCUUUCAAGCUGCAAUGUUUUGCUGUUGGAUAGAUAACAGAGACCAGAAUAAAUGCUAUCAUGUAAUUGA